UUUGAUCCUGGSUCAGGAUGAACGCUGGCGGUAUGCUUAACACAUGCAAGUCGUAGAAGAUCUUCGAUCUUAGUGGCGGACGGGUGAGUAACACGUGAGAAUCUACCCUUAGGAGAGAAUAACAGCUGGAAACGGUUGCUAAUACUCUAUAUGCCGAGAGGUAAAAGGAUCUACCACCUUAGGAAGAGCUCGCGUCUGAUUAGCUAGUUGGUGAGGUAAUGGCUCACCAAGGGACGAUCAGUAGCUGGUUUGAGAGGACGACCAGCCACACUGGGACUGAGACACGGCCCAACUCCUACGGGAGGCAGCAGUGGGGAAUUUUGGACAAUGGACGCAAGUCUGAUCCAGCCUGCCGCGUGCGGGAAGAAGGCCUUCGGGUUGUAAACCGCUUUUGUCARGGAAGAAAAGGUCUGGUUAAUACCUGGGACUCAUGACGGUACCUGAAGAAUAAGCACCGGCUAACUACGUCCAGCAGCCGCGGUAA
Molecule: ribosomal RNA, 484 nt
Filed under: uncultured Chlorophyta
Lineage: Eukaryota; Viridiplantae; Chlorophyta
Description: bacterial SSU rRNA
Rfam family: Bacterial small subunit ribosomal RNA
Source: RNAcentral